CCGCGGCCGUGCCGGACUGGGUCUGGGUCGCCGCUGGGCGCUCCCGCUCCGCACCGCGGGCCGCGCGCUCCGAGGGGGUGGGGGUGGGGGUGGGGGUGGACGUCCUCGGCCUCGUGGCCAGGCCGCCGGUCGCGCUGUCCCCGCCUCGGGGCCGGACUUGCCGAGUCCCCGUCCCCGCCUGCGCCGCUGCCGCGCGCUCCUGCUCCGCGAGCGCCUUCCGCCGGCCGGAGCGCACACGGACCCGGCAGCCGCGCCUCGGCGCCCGCCAGCACCCGGGAGCAUGCGGCGGCCGGGGCCCGCGACGCUGCACGCUCUGCGGGACCGCGGGGCGCGCGAACUGAUGUCCUUGGCCAUGACGCACCCCCAACCGCUGUCUGCUCAGGCACAGCCUGUGUGACUGAGCCAUUGCCACCCCAGCUGUUUCACGUGAGUGUGUGGCUCAGGCCAACUCUCUGUCCCCAGGAGAAGGUGUCCGGGCCCUGGGUAGCGAGGGGUGUUCCUGGGGAAGAAGUCCAGAAAGUCCUGGUCACAGAGGGCAGGCCCGGGAGUCUUUAGCGGGCAACAGGUCUGUCCUCUUUGGCCGUCCUUGGUCCCUGACUUGGCCACCACUGAACCCAUCUGUUCAGAUCCACUAGGCCCUGGGAGGGGACCUCUUUCUCCUGUUCUUUGGAAGCUCCUCAGAAGGCAGCUGGGUAUUAUGGAGACUUUAUGGCACUGGCCCUUGGGUCCUGACUCAGACACUUGACUUUAGGCACAUCAUUUAUUUAAUGGUCUGGCUUCCUCUCCUGCAUGUGGGGUUUUUGCGUGGUGCUGAGGUGUAUUAGUUAUCUCUCGCUGUACAGUGGGACUACUACAAACUUAGCAGCUGAAACAACACACACUGAUUACCUUGCAGUUUCUGUGGGUCAGGGAUCCAGGCGUGGCUAGCGGGUUCCUGUCUCUGGGUCUGUCAUAAGGCUGCAUUCAGGCGUCUUGGGGCUACAGUUUCAUCUCAAAGCUCAACUGGGGAAGGACCCGCUUCCACUCUCACUUGUGCGAUUUUCCAGUUCCAUUUAGGUCAUUGGACUGAGGGCCAGAGGCCACCCUCUGUUCCUUGCCACAUGGGCCUCCCAGCAUGGCGACUUGCUGCGUCCAAACCAGCAAGGGAAGGAGUUGG
RNAcentral lists this long non-coding RNA (1156 nucleotides) under Felis catus (domestic cat). RNAcentral's name for it is "lncRNA (ENSFCAG00000053470.1)". The record is from RNAcentral. Lineage: Eukaryota; Metazoa; Chordata; Mammalia; Carnivora; Felidae.